CAACCUACCUUUAACAGGGGGAUAACACUGAGAAAUUGGUACUAAUACCCCAUAAUAUCAUAGAAGGCAUCUUUUAUGGUUGAAAAUUCCGAUGGUUAGAGAUGGGCAUGCGUUGUAUUAGCUAGUUGGUGGGGUAACGGCUCACCAAGGCGACGAUACAUAGGGGGACUGAGAGGUUAACCCCCCACACUGGUACUGAGACACGGACCAG
Molecule: ribosomal RNA, 211 nt
Filed under: uncultured bacterium
Lineage: Bacteria
Description: partial 16S ribosomal RNA
Rfam family: Bacterial small subunit ribosomal RNA
Source: RNAcentral